GCAUCAAAUGUUUGAUUAAACGGAUGAAAAAGAGAAGUUUCUUCCCUAUAAUUAUCACUUCUUAAAAUCUGUAGCAACUUCAAGUCUGUCAGCAUGCUGAGCAUGCUCAGAAUGUGACAAUAUAUUUUUGUUCAAUAUUUAAUUUCUUUCAGUUGCAAUUGUUAAAUGGGAAAAAAAUAAAAAUUUAUUCUUAUAAUUUAGCAAACUAACUUAUCAAAAAAAAUAUACAUGUAUUUGUAUUAGUUUUAAUAAAUUAAUUUGACACCUGUAUUGAAAAUACCAUAUUGUGGCAUUCUUAUUACUAACCAAAUCUGAAGCGCAAAGUAAUAUUAUUUCUAAAUUACAUAACAGCAUCCUGCGGUGUAAAAACGACAGCACUCUGUAUAUUAAAGCGAAGUGGGAAAAGGAGGGUAAUUUGUCAAUUACAGACAAGUGUUGGGCUCACGCAUGCAAGAUACAGUGGGCUCCCACUGGGUCUAAUGUUUGGUGUGAAUUUUGCUGGAAAAGCAUUGAGAUUUUUCAUUAUCCUUGCUCAACAAAGAUAUUGAGGAAUUGGUGAUAAAUGUUGAAGAUGUGGGGGAGACGGAGCUAACCAUUUCCACAUCUUUUGGGACUGUAAAGUUAUUCGCCAGUAUUGGUCUCUAAUCCAAAAUCAUUUACAAAAUGUUUUUUCAUUUGUUUUUCCUUCAACUUUUGAAACCAUAUUUUUGUGCAAUGUACCAGUGGAUAAACUGAAUUCCAACGACAGAAGACUCCUGUAUAUCCUUCUGGCCGCAAGAAAAAAGCCUCUUACGAGAAGAUAGCUUAAGCCUGAACCACCAACGAUAGAAGACUGGAUACAUUCUGUACAAGAGAUCUAUACGAUGGAAAAAGUGUCAUUUUCUCUUAAACUUCAGAGGGAUACCUUCUAUGGAAUAUGGUCUAAAUGGACAGACUAUGUUAAGCAUAUGAGCAGUUUGUGCUCACAGAUGGUGACAGUGUGGAGAGACGGUGGUGUUUCCUCAGAAGAACCAGCAGAGUCACAAAGGACACCAGUCCAUCUCACCACCUUGACUUGCUGACUGAUGUUCGUCUGCACUGCACAGAGGAAAUCAACUGACCGAGGAGUGUUUCUGAGUGAGGGAGAGAGGAGUCAUCAUCCAGUUUAAGUGACGUAGAUCAGUGGAUACACUUGUCUCCCCUUUAAUGGAGACGAUCCAAGUCAUCCUUAAAUAUGGGCAGGAUAUCAGUCUUGGACUGUCUAACCUGCCGGAACAGCACUGAAUGAUCACCACACAUGAGCAUGUUCCUGCAACAUGCAGCAUCUGAUCCUUCAUCUGUGUGCUUCUGCUUUUGUGUCACAUGUCAAACAGCUGGAGAGGAAACUACACCAGUGUACUGGGAUGUUUCAGCAACACGUGCCAGAUGCUGUUCCUUCAUGGUGACAUCACCAGAGACAGCCCCACCCACCUCAGGACCUCGCCAUUGAUCAUGAUGAUUAUAAUGAUGACAGCGAGCGGAACUAAGACUGUAAAAAUCCACGACCAGAAUUUUUCUUUCUAAUUAUUAAUGAAUACUGAGAGCCUCUUUCUGUGUUUUGUCUGUUUUUUGUUUUGUUUUUAAAACCUCAUUUGUUACUAACAAAGUUCACCAAACUCACACAGUUUACAUUCUGUAUGUUUCCAUCUUUACCAGCCACACUCUAACUGCAUUUAAGAAAAUAAUCCUUAGAAAUCGUCGUUUUUCUCUUUUGCAAUUGAUGAUAAUUCAGUGAAUAAACUGCUGUUUGAAUUCUCUGUAUGUUUGACCCUGUAGACUGUUUGAUGGACUGCUUGUCUUCCUGUUUGUUACCGCCGCCUGUUUUUUGACUAAAGAUUUGGAUUUCUGACUUCAACACUAUGAUUUAACUCCAUA
Astatotilapia calliptera (eastern happy) is the source of this 1893-nucleotide long non-coding RNA. NCBI's taxonomy places the organism in Eukaryota, Metazoa, Chordata, Actinopteri, Cichliformes, Cichlidae. The record is from Ensembl.